GAUCAUGGCUCAGGACGAACGCUGGCGGCGUGCUUAACACAUGCAAGUCGAACGUGAUUUUUGUGGAAAUUCUUUCGGGAAUGGAAAUGAAAUGAAAGUGGCGAACGGGUGAGUAACACGUGAGCAACCUACCUUACACAGGGGGAUAGCCGUUGGAAACGACGAUUAAUACCGCAUGAGACCACAGAAUCGCAUGAUAUAGGGGUCAAAGAUUUAUCGGUGUAAGAAGGGCUCGCGUCUGAUUAG
RNAcentral lists this ribosomal RNA (246 nucleotides) under uncultured bacterium. RNAcentral's name for it is "partial 16S ribosomal RNA". It matches the Rfam family "Bacterial small subunit ribosomal RNA", at positions 15 to 244 of the family's 1533-position model. The record is from RNAcentral.